AGAAUCAACGCUGGCGGCGUGCCUAACACAUGCAAGUCGAACGAGAAAGUGGAGCAAUCCAUGAGUAAAGUGGCGCACGGGUGAGUAACACGUGACUAACCUACCUUUUAGUGGGGGAUAACCUAGGGAAACCUGGGCUAAGUACCGCAUAAUACCUACGGGUCAAAGCAGCAAUGCGCUGGAAAGAGGGGUCGCGGCCGAUUAGCUAGUUGGCGGGGUAAUGGCCCACCAAGGCAGUGAUCGGUA
RNAcentral lists this ribosomal RNA (246 nucleotides) under uncultured bacterium. RNAcentral describes it as "partial small subunit ribosomal RNA". It matches the Rfam family "Bacterial small subunit ribosomal RNA", at positions 26 to 285 of the family's 1533-position model. The record is from RNAcentral.